This 45-nucleotide non-coding RNA is filed under the name Mytilus galloprovincialis (Mediterranean mussel). It matches the Rfam family "Histone 3' UTR stem-loop". Rfam says of the family: The mRNAs of metazoan histone genes lack a poly-A tail. 3' end processing occurs at a site between a highly conserved stem-loop (modelled by this family) and a purine rich region around 20 nts downstream (the histone downstream element, or HDE). Lineage: Eukaryota; Metazoa; Mollusca; Bivalvia; Mytilida; Mytilidae. The record is from RNAcentral.
AUAACGGUCCUUUUCAGGGCCAUCAAUAUUUACAAAAAGAAUCUA